Molecule: small nucleolar RNA, 138 nt
Organism: Harmonia axyridis
Lineage: Eukaryota; Metazoa; Arthropoda; Insecta; Coleoptera; Coccinellidae
Source: RefSeq, a predicted model, not a curated record
AAUUGGCCCUAUCGAAGCUGUGUUUCUUGCGCCAAUGCAUAAACAUAGUCAAAAUGAGGCCUAAAUAAUAAUGUCUGUAAUGGUCACUAGUCUGCUCUUUGUAUAGCUUUUCUAGUAUUACCCAAGCAGAAUACAAUU